This 66-nucleotide transfer RNA is filed under the name Artheneis intricata. RNAcentral describes it as "tRNA-Glu". It matches the Rfam family "tRNA". From Rfam's summary of the family: Transfer RNA (tRNA) molecules are approximately 80 nucleotides in length. Their secondary structure includes four short double-helical elements and three loops (D, anti-codon, and T loops). The record is from RNAcentral. Lineage: Eukaryota; Metazoa; Arthropoda; Insecta; Hemiptera; Artheneidae.
ACUUACAUAGUUUAAAUUAAAAACUUUUCAUUUUCAAUGAAAGAUUAGAAAUAUUUCUUGUAAGUA